UGGGGGUCCAAGUCAUGUGACCUUGCGUCAGUUACUUACUAGGCUGUGGCUCGGUGUUUCUCAUCUGUGAAACGGGAAGCACUUGGUCUCUACAUAUCCGGGGAGCCAGGACUGCCUUAGGAUCGGAGACUGUCUGCCCCAGUGACCCACCAGCCCCCGCCCUGCUGGGCUCCACCAUGGACCCGUGGGACCUGCUGCUGGGUCUCAGGACCUUCUCCAUGGGAAUCUGCAGAGCUGGCAGAUGGGCGUGUGGCCCUUGCCCUCCCCCAGCAGCAGGUGGCCUUUGCAGCCUGGCACCUGUUCCUGGAGGUUGGCUGCCAGGAAGGUGCAAACCCAGGAAUCGCCCUCCUGAUGUGUCCUCUGCCAUAGCACAAGGC
This 377-nucleotide long non-coding RNA is filed under the name Heterocephalus glaber (naked mole-rat). RNAcentral's name for it is "lncRNA (ENSHGLG00100037440.1)". The record is from RNAcentral. Lineage: Eukaryota; Metazoa; Chordata; Mammalia; Rodentia; Bathyergidae.